GUGGGAGGGGACACAAGAGAUUUAUGAAUCAUACACCAGAUAAAUCAAUAGCUUACCAGAAUUUCCCUAUUAAAUUUGAGAUCAAGUCAUUGUAAUAUUCCAAUUUCUUAUGUCUUUCCAAACAUGAUCAAAUACAUUAUGAAAUUGUUCAGAGAAAUGAAAGCAAAUUUAGAGAAAUAGUUUAAUGGCAGUUUCAUCAUAUGUUGUCUGUUUGAAGAGUGCCAAAGUGAUACAAAGAUGGCAAAAUCGUGUUUCACUAGAGAUACCAAAUGGCAUAUUUUGCCAAGUGAGACACAAAAUGAUAAAUGGCCAAACUCAAUAUACACUAUGAU
This 332-nucleotide unclassified non-coding RNA is filed under the name Hevea brasiliensis (rubber tree). The record is from RNAcentral. Lineage: Eukaryota; Viridiplantae; Streptophyta; Magnoliopsida; Malpighiales; Euphorbiaceae.